AGCAGUAGCCGCGGUAAUACGAGGGGUGCAAGCGUUAUUCGGAUUGAUUGGGUGUAAAGGGUGUGCAGACGGCUUAUUAAGUCACUUGUUAAAUUCUUCGGCCUAACUGAAGGUCUGCAAGUGAUACUGAUGAGCUAGAGGGUGGAAGAGAGAAGUGGAAUUCUCGGAGUAGCGGUAAAAUGCGUAGAUCUCGAGAGGAACACCAAUGGCGAAGGCAGCUUCUUGGUCCAUUCCUGACGUUCAUACACGAAAGCGUGGGGAGCAAACAGGAUUAGAUACCCCGGUAGUCCCUGUCUCUUAUAA
RNAcentral lists this ribosomal RNA (303 nucleotides) under uncultured bacterium. Its description in RNAcentral is "partial 16S ribosomal RNA". It matches the Rfam family "Bacterial small subunit ribosomal RNA", at positions 507 to 809 of the family's 1533-position model. The record is from RNAcentral.